This is a transfer RNA of Clohesyomyces aquaticus, 86 nucleotides long. It matches the Rfam family "tRNA". Rfam says of the family: Transfer RNA (tRNA) molecules are approximately 80 nucleotides in length. Their secondary structure includes four short double-helical elements and three loops (D, anti-codon, and T loops). The record is from Rfam. NCBI's taxonomy places the organism in Eukaryota, Fungi, Ascomycota, Dothideomycetes, Pleosporales, Lindgomycetaceae.
GGAGCCUUGGCGCAAUGGUAGCGCGUUGGUUUUCGGUUCGUCCGCCUGUUCACCAAAGGUUGUGGGUUCGAGCCCCAUGGGCUUCG